RNAcentral lists this ribosomal RNA (700 nucleotides) under uncultured Alphaproteobacteria bacterium. RNAcentral's name for it is "bacterial SSU rRNA". It matches the Rfam family "Bacterial small subunit ribosomal RNA", at positions 94 to 829 of the family's 1533-position model. The record is from RNAcentral. Lineage: Bacteria; Pseudomonadati; Pseudomonadota; Alphaproteobacteria. RNAcentral also lists the same sequence under 1 other name.
AGCGGCGGACGGGUGAGUAACGCGUGGGAACGUACCCUCUUCUGCGGGAUAGCCACUGGAAACGGUGAGUAAUACCGCAUACGCCCUUCGGGGGAAAGAUUUAUCGGAGGAGGAUCGGCCCGCGUUGGAUUAGGUAGUUGGUGGGGUAAUGGCCUACCAAGCCUACGAUCCAUAGCUGGUUUUAGAGGAUGAUCAGCCACACUGGGACUGAGACACGGCCCAGACUCCUACGGGAGGCAGCAGUGGGGAAUCUUAGACAAUGGGCGCAAGCCUGAUCUAGCCAUGCCGCGUGAGUGACGAAGGCCUUAGGGUCGUAAAGCUCUUUCGCCAGAGAUGAUAAUGACAGUAUCUGGUAAAGAAACCCCGGCUAACUCCGUGCCAGCAGCCGCGGUAAUACGGAGGGGGUUAGCGUUGUUCGGAAUUACUGGGCGUAAAGCGCACGUAGGCGGAUUGGAAAGUUGGGGGUGAAAUCCCAGGGCUCAACCCUGGAACUGCCUCCAAAACUCCCAGUCUGGAGUUCGAGAGAGGUGAGUGGAAUUCCGAGUGUAGAGGUGAAAUUCGUAGAUAUUCGGAGGAACACCAGUGGCGAAGGCGGCUCACUGGCUCGAUACUGACGCUGAGGUGCGAAAGUGUGGGGAGCAAACAGGAUUAGAUACCCUGGUAGUCCACACCGUAAACGAUGAAUGCCAGUCGUCGGCAA